This 683-nucleotide ribosomal RNA is filed under the name Zostera marina. Its description in RNAcentral is "eukaryotic LSU rRNA". The stretch from base 223 to 378 matches the Rfam family "5.8S ribosomal RNA". Lineage: Eukaryota; Viridiplantae; Streptophyta; Magnoliopsida; Alismatales; Zosteraceae. The record is from RNAcentral.
AUUGCCUUUUGGUUAGACCAUGAAAAAGUUAACUUGGUAUUAAGCUUUUUUAGCUUAAAGGAUGCACAAUCAAGUAACAUUUUUGUAUCUUCUUGUGUGUUCCAUAACAAAUCCACGGCACAAUUGUUGCCAAGGCAAACGUUAGAUUGAUUUUUCGGUGAUGCUGAAAUGUAUUCAUUUGAUAAAUUGACCAAAAGCUAAAAUCCUCAUGGAUUAUUUGAUGACUCUUGACAACGGAUAUCUUGGUUCUCGCAUCGAUGAAGAACGUAGCGAAAUGCGAUACUUGGUGUGAAUUGCAGAAUCCCGUGAACCAUCGAGUCUUUGAACGCAAGUUGCGCCUAAAGCCUUUAGGUGGAAGGCAUGCCUGCUUGGGCGUCAUAUAAUGUUGAUAUCUUUCACUUGUCUAAACAUUUGUAAAGAAUCAGAGAAUGACCUUCUAUUUGCUUGGACUUGUAGUGGGUUAAAAUUUAUUCUGCAUGUUCGGUACAUGGCAUGGUGGGUGGAAUUUUUUAGAAUGUUUACCAUUCUGAAACUGCGUGUCAUGAUAUUGUGUCGUCUAAUGCAAAUGAAGAUCACCCUUGGUUGUUUAAUUUUUUUAAACACUAUGAUAUUGAUAGCGACCCCAAGUCAGGCCAGACUACCCGCUGAAUUUAAGCAUAUCAAUAAGCGGAGGAAAGGAUCAU